AGACCAAAAGGGUAGUUUUUGUAAAUUGAAUCUCAAAACCAUGGAAACACAAGCAGCAGAGCCACGUUUUCAUCGAAGACAACGAAAAAGAAGCAGAAGCAGCUCCCAAUUCACCGGCAUCGACGAGGAGGAUAAGGAGCAGCCGCAUCAGCACAAUGACCAGAUUCGGGACCCUAAAACCGUGACGCUGCCAGACGAUAUAAUCCACAACGAGAUCCUGACUCGCCUCCCUCCAAAACACAUACUCCGUUGCCGCCUCGUUUGUAAGUCCUGGAAUUCUCGCUUCUCCACACCCGAUUUCAUCAAUUCCCACCUUACCCGUCAACAAAAUUACCCACAAGAAGAAGAAAAUCUCGUUAUAAUUAACAAACUAAUUGUUCCCAACGGAAUACAAAUUCUCUCCCGCACUACUGCUAUUCCUCUGCGUAACGUACCCUAUAUUCGCCACUCCUUGCUGGGCUCCAUCAAUGGCUUAGUCGCUCUCUUGUCUUCAAGGAAAGAGAUUUUGUUUGUGGAAUCCCGCAGUCGCGCAGCUCAAGUUCUUUCCUAUGCCCCCGGCUCAUUAUCAUCCCACCAAGGAUCGGUGUAAUCACUUUCUUGGAGGGUUUGCGUGGGAUCAUGUGUUAAAUGAUUACAAGCUUUUGCUUUUCUGUUGUGACUCUGCCACUUCUGGUCCUUCCCAAAUUUGUGUUUACUCAUUUAAUUCCGCUAUUUGGACUACACUCCCUGUCCCUCCUUGUUCCGGGUUGCCUGUUGGACGGAUACUUAAAUCUAAUCUUAUUAUGCCUCCGUCCACGAUUGUCAAGGGAAUUCCUUAUUGGAGUUACGAGAAGUAUUUGCAAUUGGAUGGGAAGAGGCGUAGGCGUAAAUUGAUCUCCACCUUUAAGUUUGUGCCCCGGGUUAAUGAGUUCCGCGUCUUGCCUGAUUUCGAUGCUCUUAAAACUGGCAAAAAUAGAUUCCAUAUUGUCAAUAUCAAAGACGGUCUUUUUGGGAUGGCUUAUAAUGUGACCGGAGUAAAAUCUUUGGUGGAUAUCUACUCUUUGGACGAUGAGGAAUCUCAUUGUGGUGGUGUUUGGAGUAAGAUGUACACUGUCGGACCUGUGGAUAUUAGCUACGGAGGCAGGCAGCUUUCUCAGUGUUUUAAGAAUGGGGGUGAUAUUUUGAUUUAUGGGAAAAGGGGUCCAUUUAAUGUCUAUGAUCCGGAAACAGGAGAAACUAAGUUUGUUGAGUCGUCCGACUCUGGUUGCUUCAUGACGUGUUUCAAUUAUACGCCUAGUUUGGUCUGUGUUCCUGGGAUGGAAUUGAUGCAGGAGUCAUUUACAAAGGAGGAAGGAGUCCGUCCAGAUACUCCCUCGUUUUUUUAUUACAGGACGCUUUGACUUUUGACAAAUAUCUUGAGCUAUUUAUUUGACGAGUGAAGCCGGCAAUAUGGACGUGGCAAAGUGGAAGUGUAGAGGCUGAAGUCUGGUAAUAGGCUGAAGUCUGAACUGUGUCCGUAGUAUGGUGUAGGAGGACAGUCAAGGACUAAUUGUACAAGAAUCAGAAUACUGUGACCAGUUGCUUAUGAUCCAAUCAUUUUGCAUGGACCAAUGUGUGACCAUAUUGACUAUCAGAAUUCAGACCGAUCACUUGUCCGAUUUAGUGAUUCAGUUUGCUCAGAAAUAAAGAGAGAAAGUUCUCUCUGAAGAUUCUACUCUAUAAUCGAUUCUUCUAUACACAGGUUCCGGUUCAUCUAUUGACUUUUUAAAUCUGUACACAACUUCAUCAUAUAUGUAUAUUUAUGUUUUUCUGUUUUGUAUGAUACAGUUCGUAAUUUGAUUCUCUUUGUUGGAAUAUGUAUAAUUUGAGGCCUUAAUUGAUUCAGAUCGGUAGUGUUGAUGUAUGAUAAUUCUGCUUAGGCUAUGCAUAUUACACAUAUUUUGUAUAAAGCAAUGCAUAUAUAGAGGGAAGUAUAACAUACAAUUGCAGUUUAGUUUUGGUUUUGAUAUAAACGUUUACAGGCAUUUGAUGUGAAACUUGGAUGUGUGUUUGUUUCCAUGCUAGUGUUAUUUAGGAUCUGUAGAGACUUUGAACUUGAUGAUAUUGAUGACCGAAUUACAUCUAUAACUGUUUAAGAUGACUAAA
Daucus carota subsp. sativus is the source of this 2124-nucleotide long non-coding RNA. RefSeq lists it as uncharacterized. The record is from RefSeq and is a predicted model, not a curated record. The transcript is spliced from 3 exons. NCBI's taxonomy places the organism in Eukaryota, Viridiplantae, Streptophyta, Magnoliopsida, Apiales, Apiaceae.